CCCUGAUGUUAGCGGCGGACGGGUGAGUAACACGUGGGUAACCUGCCUGUAAGACUGGGAUAACUCCGGGAAACCGGGGCUAAUACCGGAUGGUUGUUUGAACCGCAUGGUUCAAACAUAAAAGGUGGCUUCGGCUACCACUUACAGAUGGACCCGCGGCGCAUUAGCUAGUUGGUGAGGUAACGGCUCACCAAGGCAACGAUGCGUAGCCGACCUGAGAGGGUGAUCGGCCACACUGGGACUGAGACACGGCCCAGACUCCUACGGGAGGCAGCAGUAGGGAAUCUUCCGCAAUGGACGAAAGUCUGACGGAGCAACGCCGCGUGAGUGAUGAAGGUUUUCGGAUCGUAAAGCUCUGUUGUUAGGGAAGAACAAGUACCGUUCGAAUAGGGCGGUACCUUGACGGUACCUAACCAGAAAGCCACGGCUAACUACGUGCCAGCAGCCGCGGUAAUACGUAGGUGGCAAGCGUUGUCCGGAAUUAUUGGGCGUAAAGGGCUCGCAGGCGGUUUCUUAAGUCUGAUGUGAAAGCCCCCGGCUCAACCGGGGAGGGUCAUUGGAAACUGGGGAACUUGAGUGCAGAAGAGGAGAGUGGAAUUCCACGUGUAGCGGUGAAAUGCGUAGAGAUGUGGAGGAACACCAGUGGCG
This 648-nucleotide ribosomal RNA is filed under the name Bacillus subtilis. RNAcentral describes it as "bacterial SSU rRNA". It matches the Rfam family "Bacterial small subunit ribosomal RNA", at positions 84 to 717 of the family's 1533-position model. The record is from RNAcentral. Lineage: Bacteria; Bacillati; Bacillota; Bacilli; Caryophanales; Bacillaceae.